RNAcentral lists this long non-coding RNA (1745 nucleotides) under Homo sapiens (human). Its description in RNAcentral is "CTXN2 antisense RNA 1, transcript variant 1 (CTXN2-AS1)". Lineage: Eukaryota; Metazoa; Chordata; Mammalia; Primates; Hominidae. The record is from RNAcentral.
CUUUCCUGGCCUAGAAGUGUAAAUGUCUGUGUCUGUUGGUGAGACAGAGGACGUGGGCGCCCGCCGAAGAGAAGGCGCCUAGGCGCUGUCCGUAGUGCUGAAAUGGUGCGUGGUGAGACCUGUCUCCCCAACACAAGCUAGAAGACAACAAAAUAGCAGCCAGGAAACGCUCUGAUAAAGCUCUAGAUAGCUGCCAGGUGAUGCCAGAGAUUACUAGUUUUGGGACCAAUUAAAGUAGCAAGAUGCAGCCAGGAGUGGUGGCUUAUGCCUGUAAUCCCAGCACUUUGGGAGGCCGAGGUAGGAGGAUCACCUGAGGCCGAGCUCAAGGGAGCAGAACUAAGUUACAUGAUUCUGCUGCGGAUGUAUAAGCACCACUCCAAUAAUUUAUUAUCACGGUUGGAGACUUUGACUUGUCACUUUAUGACUUGAAAUAUGGCUCCAUGGUAAAUGCCCAUAAAGCUGAUUUUUAAAAUCUGGAUAUUACAGUUCUAAUUCUCACUUAGUUUAAAAGGUAGAAUAGGCUUCUUGUUUCAUAGAUCAUUUGUGUGAAUGUUGAUUUGUUAUGUCAUUGACAUCAUACACACAUGCUUACAUUUUGAAGGUUGCUAGCGUUUCCCAUUAAUGCUUCUGAAUUGAUGCCAAAGGAAAGCAUUGAUUAUAAAUUAGGUUCCUUGGUAUUAGUUGGUGCAUGACCCUGACCCUUUUCAAGCUAUAUGAAAGGUAAUGAUGCUCUCAAAAGCCUGCAAAAUGGCUUAUUCAGGAAAGCAUAAUGGAUUAAAAAUCCAUUAGGUUCCACUUUCUUUGCUAGAUGCUGAGAUACAAAGAUAAAUGAGAUUUGGUCUCUGCCCUCGAGGAGAUACGUGGCAAAAUAAUAUGGUAAGUUCUACAAAGUUCUAUACAAACACAGAUUAAUAUGCUAUUCAUGUUUUAUUAGCCAUUGCCAAAGAAGGGAUGAAGAACUGCAAAAAGAUAAAACACAGAAUACUUGUACUUCAGGUCCUUGCCAAUAUCUACUGCCCAACUUUUACAAAAAAAAUUGCUGAAAGGCAUGAAAUAUAUGAAUGCCUUUCUAAAGCACAUGUGGAUAAUCUAUACUUCUGGAGCAUCUAUGAUUUAUUUUCAGAACAAUCCAAGUUAUUAGAAAGGUAAAUAUGUUGGUGACAUUGUUUAGAAGUUCCUCAAGCAGAAUUGCCUUUACUAUGCUUUGACAUUAUGCUCUCAGCUUAUAUACAGUAAUUCUAUGUGAAACAGUAGCCAGCUUACACAACCUGCUCUAUAUCUACUACAGAGCUGUUACUAAAGUGUUGGUCAACAUAUAACUUACUAUUUCUUAUAUAAAGAUGCCCAAGAAAUUUAGAUUUCAUAGAUAUAUCCCCAAAAGCAUUUCUUUCAAUACCAGUUUAAUGAAUUGAACUUUCAUACCUCACUUAAAUCAACCCAGGGUAAAGUGGUAUGUUCUGUUCUUACACACAAUGAAAAUCAUGUAACUAAUUAAAGUUAGCAUUUAUUUUAGCUACUAGGGAUGCCAGAGUCAAAUUAACAGCUGAAAAUGAAUAACUACAUAAGACCUUAAGCCUUUUAUAUCUUUUCUUUUUUUUUAAUCACCUUAACUACUGCAAUUUUGGUUUCUUAGGUAAUGAUAAUAUUAUUUUCUUUUAAUUAUUUGUUUUAAUGUGUGACCUCAUGUAAAUGUCCUCAUAAAAUCAGAAGUGGAGUAAAUAAAUAAAUAAAGUAAAUUUCUCUAC